UACGUAGGGUCCAAGCGUUGUUCGGAUUUACUGGGCGUAAAGGGCGCGUAGGCGGCUAUUCAAGUCAUCUGUGAAAUCCCCGGGCUUAACCCGGAACGGUCAGAUGAUACUGCUUUGCUAGAGUGCGGAAGGGGCAAUCGGAAUUCUUGGUGUAGCGGUGAAAUGCGUAGAUAUCAAGAGGAACACCUGAGGUGAAGACGGGUUGCUGGGCCGACACUGACGCUGAUAGCGCGAAAGCCAGGGGAGCAAACGGG
Molecule: ribosomal RNA, 254 nt
Filed under: uncultured bacterium
Lineage: Bacteria
Description: partial 16S ribosomal RNA
Rfam family: Bacterial small subunit ribosomal RNA
Source: RNAcentral